CACUUCUAAGGAAGGCAGCAGGCGCGCAAAUUACCCAAUCCUGACUCAGGGAGGUAGUGACAAGAAAUAACAAUAAACCGGCUUAUGCCGGUUUAAUUGGAAUGAGUACAAUUUAAACAUCUUAACGAGGAACAAUUGGAGGGCAAGUCUGGUGCCAGCAGCCGCGGUAAUUCCAGCCCCAAUAGCGUAUACUAAAGUUGUUGCAGUUAAAAAGCUCGUAGUUGGAUUUCUGUGGGGACGGAGCGGCCGGCCGCACACCGCGGUUCGAGCUAGCGCUUUCCCUACAUCCUGCCGCGAACCGUGCUACCAUUAAUUUGGUGGCGCCGGGGAUCGGCUCGAUUACUUUGAGAAAAAUAGAGUGUUCAAAGCAGGCCACAUGCCUUGAAUAAGUUAGCAUGGAAUAAUAACUAAGGACUUCGGUUCUAUUUUGUUGGUGUUCGGGACUGAAGUAAUGAUUGAUAGGGACAGUUGGGGCGGUCUGUAUUCCAAAGCGAGAGGUGAAAUUCUUAGACCUUCGGAAGACAAACAGCUGCGAAAGCGUUCCGCAAGGAUGUUCCCUUUGAUCAAGAACGAAAGUUGGGGGAUCGAAGACGAUCAGAUACCGUCGUAGUCUCAACUAUAAACUAUACCAGCUAGGGAUCGGCCAACGUUAUUCUAUACCGACUUGGUCGGCACCUUAUGAGAAAUCAAAGCAUCUGGGUUCCGGGGGGAGUAUGGUCGCAAGGCUGAAACUUAAAGGAAUUGACGGAAGGGCACCACCAGCCGUGGAGCCUGUGGCUUAAUUUGACUCAACACGGGAAAACUUACCAGGUCCAGACAUAGUAAGGAUUGACAGAUUGAUAGCUCUUUCUUGAUUCUGUGGGUGGUGGUGCAUGGCCGUUCUUAGUUGGUGGAGUGAUUUGUCUGGUUAAUUCCGUUAACGAACGAGACCCCAGCCUGCUAAAUAGCGCGCGUGAGCUUUGCUCGCGGCGAGCUUCUUAGAGGGACUCUGAUGCGCGAUAGCACAUGGAAGUUUGGGGCAAUAACAGGUCUGUGAUGCCCUUAGAUGUUCUGGGCCGCACACGGGCUACACUGGCGCCUGCAACGAGCAUAUCAGCUGGCCCGAGAGGGUCUUGGCUAAUCUUUUGAACCGGCGCCGUGCUUGGGAUUGACCUUUGCAAUUGUUGGUCAUGCAACGAGGAAUGCCUUGUAAACGCGAGUCAUCAGCUCGCAUUGAAUACGUCCCUGCCCUUUGUACACACCGCCCGUCGCUCCUACCGAUGAAUGUUCCGAUGAAAUUUUCGGAGAGCACCUGUGAACUUGGCUCCGCCUUGCGAACGGGAGGCUCAAAGUCACUUAAAUCUGAACAUUUC
This 1352-nucleotide ribosomal RNA is filed under the name uncultured marine eukaryote. Its description in RNAcentral is "SSU rRNA". It matches the Rfam family "Eukaryotic small subunit ribosomal RNA", at positions 411 to 1775 of the family's 1831-position model. The record is from RNAcentral.